Molecule: long non-coding RNA, 1384 nt
Organism: Eupeodes corollae
Lineage: Eukaryota; Metazoa; Arthropoda; Insecta; Diptera; Syrphidae
Exons: 5
Source: RefSeq, a predicted model, not a curated record
GUGUAAAUUAAUUUUAUAGAUGAAAUUGAAUCAAAAGAACAUUUAUAAUACGUGUUCCUAUGUUUACGUUCUGCUGUACACGUAAGCAUUUGAGUUUUGAGAGAAAUUAAAUAAAAUUAAUAAACAAUAGUAGUUACACGUCAGGGUACAUAUUUGUACCUGCUAACAUAGUUAUCUAAAAUUUCUGAGUUACUAAUACUUUUAGAGAGCAGAAAUAGAACAUGGAUUACAAUUCGUAACGACUCAUGGGGUUUUCUAGGGAUAAAAUAAAACCAUUUAUUUUGUAUUUAGAUCUGUCAAAACACAAAUUUCCCCAGUUUUUUGCAUUCCAUGGGCAAAGUAAGUUGAUUUAUUUUUGAUUUAAGAUCAAAUCUGCAAAUCUAUUGGAAUUGCUUAACAAAUUAGCAGACAAAAUUGGGAACCUUUUUAAGACGGAGUAUUUGGGGUAUUAUUAUACCAAACAAAGCGGUAAAAAGCCUCAGGGGAAGAUCUAUUAUAAAUAUUAUAAUUCUAGACGACUUCUCAGCCUUGUCUCCAGGAGCACAGCACAAACGAGUUUUUGACCUUGAUGAACCAGAAUCCGAUGUUUCCGAGCACAUUAAAGAAAUUAUAAGGGACAAUUGUACUUGGGCGGAAUUGAGAUCACAAAAGCCGAAUAAAAAGUGGAUAUCCUAGCCAAAUGGAAGCAGUAUAAGAACCCGAUUGGCUUUAAAUUGAUCAAUAUGGAUUUCAAACACCUAUAUCCUAAAGCUGAGAGUUUAUUAUUGAAAUAUGAUGAUUAUUCUGUAAAAAAUUAUACCCAUUUUUGAAGACGAAAUAAAGGAUCCAACUAGUCGCCAGACCUUAAGCGAAAUGAUGAAUAAUGAAAAAAAUGUACUCGAAAAUGGACGUGCCUGUGGCAUUUUUUAUUUAAUUCACAGCCUUCUUAUAACAACAGCUAAACUCAUCACUGGCAGUGGAUCACAGAAUGCCAUUACUCGUUUUUCUAUUCGGGACUCCCAAGCUAGCUUUCUUAUAGUUGGAUCAACUGUAGUGGCAUGCGACGAAGAGAUUCUCCGGAGACAAAAAGAAAAAAAAAACAAUUAACCACUGGUCAUUGUUACUGGAACAAUUUUGGAUCCUAAGGACAUCGUUGUAUUUUUCGAUGGUAUAAAGUUCAAACAAAAUUCAAUUAUUUUAGCAAUUGAUCCGUGUUUCAAAAUUUUUAAUUUAUUUAAUUUGGAAUAUCCUACUGAUUCAAGUUUGGUUUGGGCUUUUAUUCAAAACUUUUUUUUAUAAAGUUGAAACUAGUUAUGAUAAGCACCAUAAUACAGUAAUCAGUACAAUUAUUUUUCAGUAAAUAAAUUUGUUUAAAGUAGAAAAAUAUUUUCUACUUUAAAGUGAA